Molecule: ribosomal RNA, 547 nt
Filed under: uncultured bacterium
Lineage: Bacteria
Description: bacterial SSU rRNA
Rfam family: Bacterial small subunit ribosomal RNA
Source: RNAcentral
UGGGGAAUAUUGCGCAAUGGGGGGAACCCUGACGCAGCCAUGCCGCGUGAAUGAAGAGGGCCUUCGGGUUGUAAAGUUCUUUCGGUAUUGAGGAAGGUUGAUGUGUUAAUAGCACAUCAAAUUGACGUUAAAUACAGAAGAAGCACCGGCUAACUCCGUGCCAGCAGCCGCGGUAAUACGGAGGGUGCGAGCGUUAAUCGGAAUAACUGGGCGUAAAGGGCACGCAGGCGGUUAUUUAAGUGAGGUGUGAAAGCCCUGGGCUUAACCUAGGAAUUGCAUUUCAGACUGGGUAACUAGAGUACUUUAGGGAGGGGUAGAAUUCCACGUGUAGCGGUGAAAUGCGUAGAGAUGUGGAGGAAUACCGAAGGCGAAGGCAGCCCCUUGGGAAUGUACUGACGCUCAUGUGCGAAAGCGUGGGGAGCAAACAGGAUUAGAUACCCUGGUAGUCCACGCUGUAAACGCUGUCGAUUUGGGGGUUGGGGUUUAACUCUGGCGCCCGUAGCUAACGUGAUAAAUCGACCGCCUGGGGAGUACGGCCGCAAGGUUA